AACAGUCAUGCAGUAGCUUUGGAUUGUUGCUUUAGAUAGUAGCUUCCUUCCUUUCACAUGAAUCAAUGAGUCAUUCUAAGAAUUCAUUUUUCUUUUAUGGGUUCUUUUGCCUUUGUGGUCUCAUAUGAACAGAAACAUACAGUGCCGCUAAAGCUAGAUUGGUGGUUGAACCAGGAGAAAGGUAACCGGUUGCGGAUUCAGUAAGCUGAAUGGUUG
RNAcentral lists this unclassified non-coding RNA (216 nucleotides) under Hevea brasiliensis (rubber tree). Lineage: Eukaryota; Viridiplantae; Streptophyta; Magnoliopsida; Malpighiales; Euphorbiaceae. The record is from RNAcentral.